UGCAAGUCGAACGGUGAACACGGAGCUUGCUCUGUGGGAUCAGUGGCGAACGGGUGAGUAACACGUGAGCAACCUGCCCCUGACUCUGGGAUAAGCGCUGGAAACGGCGUCUAAUACUGGAUAUGUGACGUGACCGCAUGGUCUGCGUCUGGAAAGAAUUUCGGUUGGGGAUGGGCUCGCGGCCUAUCAGCUUGUUGGUGAGGUAAUGGCUCACCAAGGCGUCGACGGGUAGCCGGCCUGAGAGGGUGACCGGCCACACUGGGACUGAGACACGGCCCAGACUCCUACGGGAGGCAGCAGUGGGGAAUAUUGCACAAUGGGCGCAAGCCUGAUGCAGCAACGCCGCGUGAGGGACGACGGCCUUCGGGUUGUAAACCUCUUUUAGCAGGGAAGAAGCGAAAGUGACGGUACCUGCAGAAAAAGCGCCGGCUAACUACGUGCCAGCAGCCGCGGUAAUACGUAGGGCGCAAGCGUUAUCCGGAAUUAUUGGGCGUAAAGAGCUCGUAGGCGGUUUGUCGCGUCUGCUGUGAAAUCCGGAGGCUCAACCUCCGGCCUGCAGUGGGUACGGGCAGACUAGAGUGCGGUAGGGGAGAUUGGAAUUCCUGGUGUAGCGGUGGAAUGCGCAGAUAUCAGGAGGAACACCGAUGGCGAAGGCAGAUCUCUGGGCCGUAACUGACGCUGAGGAGCGAAAGGGUGGGGAGCAAACAGGCUUAGAUACCCUGGUAGUCCACCCCGUAAACGUUGGGAACUAGUUGUGGGGUCCAUUCCACGGAUUCCGUGACGCAGCUAACGCAUUAAGUUCCCCGCCUGGGGAGUACGGCCGCAAGGCUAAAACUCAAAGGAAUUGACGGGGACCCGCACAAGCGGCGGAGCAUGCGGAUUAAUUCGAUGCAACGCGAAGAACCUUACCAAGGCUUGACAUAUACGAGAACGGGCCAGAAAUGGUCAACUCUUUGGACACUCGUAAACAGGUGGUGCAUGGUUGUCGUCAGCUCGUGUCGUGAGAUGUUGGGUUAAGUCCCGCAACGAGCGCAACCCUCGUUCUAUGUUGCCAGCACGUAAUGGUGGGAACUCAUGGGAUACUGCCGGGGUCAACUCGGAGGAAGGUGGGGAUGACGUCAAAUCAUCAUGCCCCUUAUGUCUUGGGCUUCACGCAUGCUACAAUGGCCGGUACAAAGGGCUGCAAUACCGCGAGGUGGAGCGAAUCCCAAAAAGCCGGUCCCAGUUCGGAUUGAGGUCUGCAACUCGACCUCAUGAAGUCGGAGUCGCUAGUAAUCGCAGAUCAGCA
This 1288-nucleotide ribosomal RNA is filed under the name Microbacterium sp. Its description in RNAcentral is "bacterial SSU rRNA". It matches the Rfam family "Bacterial small subunit ribosomal RNA", at positions 56 to 1354 of the family's 1533-position model. Lineage: Bacteria; Bacillati; Actinomycetota; Actinomycetes; Micrococcales; Microbacteriaceae. The record is from RNAcentral.